RNAcentral lists this ribosomal RNA (445 nucleotides) under uncultured bacterium. RNAcentral's name for it is "bacterial SSU rRNA". It matches the Rfam family "Bacterial small subunit ribosomal RNA", at positions 338 to 795 of the family's 1533-position model. The record is from RNAcentral.
CCUACGGGGGGCUGCAGUCGAGAAUCUUCCACAAUGGACGAAAGUCUGAUGGAGCGACGCCGCGUGAUUGAUGAAGUCCCUCUGGGACGUAAAGAUCUUUUAUGAGGGAAGAAGUUUAUUGACGGUACCUCAUGAAUAAGAGGCUCCUAAUCUCGUGCCAGCAGGAGCGGUAAUACGAGAGCCUCGAGCGUUAUCCGGAAUUAUUGGGCGUAAAGGGUGCGUAGGUUGUUCUGUUAGUCUUUUGUUAAAUCCCGGGGCUUAACCUCGGGCGAGCGAAAGAAACGGCAGAACUUGAAAGUACGAGAGGCGUACGGAACUCAUGGUGUAGGAGUGAAAUCCGUUGAUAUCAUGGGGAACACCAAAAGCGAAGGCAGUACGCUGGCGCAUAUUUGACACUGAAGCACGAAAGCGUGGGUAGCGAAUGGGAUUAGAUACCCGGGUAGUC